This 433-nucleotide ribosomal RNA is filed under the name uncultured bacterium. Its description in RNAcentral is "partial 16S ribosomal RNA". It matches the Rfam family "Bacterial small subunit ribosomal RNA", at positions 29 to 507 of the family's 1533-position model. The record is from RNAcentral.
AACGAACGCUGGCGGCAGGCCUAACACAUGCAAGUCGAGCGGACCUUUCGGGGUCAGCGGCGGACGGGUGAGUAACGCGUGGGAAUAUGCCCUUCUCUACGGAAUAGUCCUGGGAAACUGGGGGUAAUACCGUAUACGCCCUUUGGGGGAAAGAUUUAUCGGGGAAGGAUUAGCCCGCGUUGGAUUAGGUAGUUGGUGGGGUAAUGGCCUACCAAGCCGACGAUCCAUAGCUCGUUUGAGAGGAUGAUCAGCCACACUGGGACUGAGACACGGCCCAGACUCCUACGGGAGGCAGCAGUUGGGAAUCUUAGACAAUGGGGGCAACCCUGAUCUAGCCAUGCCGCGUGAGUGAUGAAGGCCUUAGGGUUGUAAAGCUCUUUCAGCUGGGAAGAUAAUGACGGUACCAGCAGAAGAAGCCCCGGCUAACUCCGUG